This 427-nucleotide ribosomal RNA is filed under the name uncultured bacterium. Its description in RNAcentral is "partial 16S ribosomal RNA". It matches the Rfam family "Bacterial small subunit ribosomal RNA", at positions 355 to 774 of the family's 1533-position model. The record is from RNAcentral. RNAcentral also lists the same sequence under 2 other names.
UGGGGAAUAUUGGACAAUGGGCGAAAGCCUGAUCCAGCCAUGCCGCGUGUGUGAAGAAGGUCUUCGGAUUGUAAAGCACUUUAAGUUGGGAGGAAGGGCAUUAACCUAAUACGUUAGUGUUUUGACGUUACCGACAGAAUAAGCACCGGCUAACUCUGUGCCAGCAGCCGCGGUAAUACAGAGGGUGCAAGCGUUAAUCGGAAUUACUGGGCGUAAAGCGCGCGUAGGUGGUUUGUUAAGUUGGAUGUGAAAGCCCCGGGCUCAACCUGGGAACUGCAUCCAAAACUGGCAAGCUAGAGUACGGUAGAGGGUGGUGGAAUUUCCUGUGUAGCGGUGAAAUGCGUAGAUAUAGGAAGGAACACCAGUGGCGAAGGCGACCACCUGGACUGAUACUGACACUGAGGUGCGAAAGCGUGGGGAGCAAACA